Molecule: ribosomal RNA, 497 nt
Filed under: uncultured bacterium
Lineage: Bacteria
Description: partial 16S ribosomal RNA
Rfam family: Bacterial small subunit ribosomal RNA
Source: RNAcentral
GACGAACGCUGGCGGCGUGCCUAAUACAUGCAAGUAGAACGCUGAAGAGAGGAGCUUGCUCUUCUUGGAUGAGUUGCGAACGGGUGAGUAACGCGUAGGUAACCUGCCUUGUAGCGGGGGAUAACUAUUGGAAACGAUAGUUAAUACCGCAUAACAAUGGAUGACACAUGUCAUUUAUUUGAAAGGGGCAAUUGCUCCACUACAAGAUGGACCUGCGUUGUAUUAGCUAGUAGGUGAGGUAAUGGCUCACCUAGGCGACGAUACAUAGCCGACCUGAGAGGGUGAUCGGCCACACUGGGACUGAGACACGGCCCAGACUCCUACGGGAGGCAGCAGUAGGGAAUCUUCGGCAAUGGGGGCAACCCUGACCGAGCAACGCCGCGUGAGUGAAGAAGGUUUUCGGAUCGUAAAGCUCUGUUGUAAGUCAAGAACGGGUGUGAGAGUGGAAAGUUCACACUGUGACGGUAGCUUACCAGAAAGGGACGGCUAACUACGUG